Molecule: ribosomal RNA, 504 nt
Filed under: Phlogotettix cyclops
Lineage: Eukaryota; Metazoa; Arthropoda; Insecta; Hemiptera; Cicadellidae
Description: partial 16S ribosomal RNA
Rfam family: Bacterial large subunit ribosomal RNA
Source: RNAcentral
AAGGUAUCCCUGCCCUAUGAUAUUUUUAAAUGGCUGCAGUAUUUUGACUGUGCAAAGGUAGCAUAAUAAUUAGCUUCUUAAUUGGAAGCUGGUAUGAAUGGGAUAAUGAGAUAUAUAUUUUAUUAUAUUUAUUCUUAAAAUUCAAGUUUUAAGUUAAAACGCUUAAUUAUUUUCUUGGGACGAUAAGACCCUAUAGAACUUUAUUCACUAAGAUUCAAUUGGUUUUUAUAAUGAAAAUUUUAUGUUACUUGUUGAUUUUNGCUGGGGUGGUAAUUAAAUUCUAAACUUUAAUUUUUUUAUUCAUUUAUUUAUGUUAAUUUUGAUCCUUUAUUUGGAUUUAAGAUUAAGUUACCUUAGGGAUAACAGCGUAAUUUUAAUGGGGAGUUCAUAUCUAUAUUAAAUUUUGCGACCUCGAUGUUGAAUUAAGAAAAAAUUAAGAAGCAGAAUUCUUAAAUUUAAGUCUGUUCGACUUUUAAAUUCUUACUUGAUCUGAGUCCAGACGGC